This 460-nucleotide ribosomal RNA is filed under the name uncultured bacterium. RNAcentral's name for it is "partial 16S ribosomal RNA". It matches the Rfam family "Bacterial small subunit ribosomal RNA", at positions 338 to 795 of the family's 1533-position model. The record is from RNAcentral.
CCUACGGGUGGCAGCAGUGAGGAAUAUUGGUCAAUGGACGAGAGUCUGAACCAGCCAAGUAGCGUGAAGGAUGAAUGCCCUAUGUGUUGUAAACUUCUUUUAUAUGGGAAUAAAAUGGUCCACGUGUGGGCUUUUGUAUGUACCAUAUGAAUAAGCAUCGGCUAACUCCGUGCCAGCAUCCGCGGUAAUACGGAGGAUACGAGCGUUAUCCGGAUUUAUUGGGUUUAAAGGGUGCGUAGGUGGAUUGUUAAGUCAGUAGGGAAAGUGUGGGGCUCAACCGGAAAAGUGCAGUUGAAACUGGCAGUCUUGAGUACAGUAGAGGUGGGCGGAAUGCGGGGUGUAGCGGUGAAAUGCUUAGAUAUCACGAAGAACUCCGAUUGCGAAGGCAGCUCACUGGACUGCAACUGACACUGAGGCUCGAAAGUGUGGGUAUCAAACAGGAUUAGAUACCCGGGUAGUC